AUGGCUGUCGUCAGCUCGUGUCGUGAGAUGUUGGGUUAAGUCCCGCAACGAGCGCAACCCUUACUUUUAGUUGCCACCAUUUAGUUGGGCACUCUGAAAGAACUGCCAGUGAUAAGCUGGAGGAAGGUGGGGAUGACGUCAAGUCCUCAUGGCCCUUACGUGUUGGGCUACACACGUGCUACAAUGGUAUCUACAACAGGAAGCAAAACAGCGAUGUUAAGCAAAUCCCGAAAAGAUACCUCAGUUCGGAUUGCACUCUGCAACUCGAGUGCAUGAAGCUGGAAUUACUAGUAAUCGCGGAUCAGCGUGCCGCGGUGAAUACGUUCCCGGGUCUUGUACACACCGCCCGUCACACCAUGGGAGUUGGUUCUACCUUAAGGCAAAGCUUAAAACCUUUGACCACGGUAUAGUCAGCGACUGGGGUGAAGUCGUAACAAGGUAGCCGUAGGGGAACCUGCGGCUGGAUUACCUCCUUUCUAAGGAUGAUUGAAAGUAAAAUUUCAAUCUAAAUAAUAUACAGGUUAAUGUUGACCGUCCUCAUUUCUCUUCUUAAAAUAGUGUUUCUCUUCUGCAUGGGGGCCGGUAGCUCAGUUGGUUAGAGCACACCCUUGAUAAGGGUGGGGUCGAAAGUUCGAGUCUUUCUCGGCCCACCAAAUUUUAUCUGGGGGAUUAGCUCAGCUGGUAGAGCGCCUGCUUUGCAAGCAGGAGGUCAGCGGUUCGACCCCGCUAUCCUCCACCAAAUUAAUGAACAGUAAAAAAAGGUGGUGCAGCUUAAGCAGAAGAUAAGCUUCAGCAAUUAUUUAAUAAUUUCUGAAUUUUAUUUUUUAAUAUCUUAGACAAUUGAAUCGGAGGUUUUGGAGACACAAGAUCAAAUGUGAGGGUCUCCAAGGGUUGACGAUCUUGACUGUUAAAGUCAGGUAGUAAGGGCGCAGGGCGGAUGCCUUGGCUCUGGGAAGCGAAGAAGGACGUGGCUAGCUGCGAUAAGCCUCGGGGAAGAGCAAACAUCUUUUGAUCCGGGGAUUUCCGAAUGGGGAAACCCGG
Molecule: small RNA, 1041 nt
Filed under: uncultured bacterium
Lineage: Bacteria
Description: bacterial SSU rRNA
Rfam family: Bacterial small subunit ribosomal RNA (bases 1-476)
Source: RNAcentral